RNAcentral lists this ribosomal RNA (497 nucleotides) under uncultured bacterium. Its description in RNAcentral is "partial 16S ribosomal RNA". It matches the Rfam family "Bacterial small subunit ribosomal RNA", at positions 28 to 507 of the family's 1533-position model. The record is from RNAcentral.
GAUGAACGCUGGCGGCGUGCUUAACACAUGCAAGUCGAGCGAACAGAUGAGGAGUUUGUUCCUCUGACGUUAGCGGCGGACGGGUGAGUAACACGUGGAUAACCUACCUAUAAGACUGGGAUAACUUCGGGAAACCGGAGCUAAUACCGGAUAAUAUAUUGAACCGCAUGGUUCAAUAGUGAAAGACGGCUUUGCUGUCACUUAUAGAUGGAUCCGCGCGGCAUUAGCUAGUUGGUAAGGUAACGGCCUAUCAAGGCAACGAUGCGUAGACGACCUGAGAGGGUGGUAGGCCGCACUGGAGCUGGAACGGGGUCCAGACUCCUGCGGGAGGCAGCAGUAGGGAAUCUUCCGCAGUGGGCGAGAGCCUGGCGGAGCGGCGCCGCGUGAGUGAUGGAGGUCUUCGGAGCGUGAAGCUCUGUUAUUGGGGGAGAACAAAUGUGUAAGUAACUGUGCACGUCUUGACGGUACCUGAUCAGAAAGCCACGGCUAACUACGUG